Molecule: ribosomal RNA, 547 nt
Filed under: uncultured bacterium
Lineage: Bacteria
Description: bacterial SSU rRNA
Rfam family: Bacterial small subunit ribosomal RNA
Source: RNAcentral
UGGGGAAUAUUGCGCAAUGGGGGGAACCCUGACGCAGCCAUGCCGCGUGAAUGAAGAAGGCCUUAGGGUUGUAAAGUUCUUUCGGUAUUGAGGAAGGUUGAUGUGUUAAUAGCACAUCAAAUUGACGUUAAAUACAGAAGAAGCACCGGCUAACUCCGUGCCAGCAGCCGCGGUAAUACGGAGGGUGCGAGCGUUAAUCGGAAUAACUGGGCGUAAAGGGCACGCAGGCGGUUAUUUAAGUGAGGUGUGAAAGCCCCGGGCUUAACCUGGGAAUUGCAUUUCGGACUGGGUAACUAGAGUACUUUAGGGAGGGGUAGAAUUCCACGUGUAGCGGUGAAAUGCGUAGAGAUGUGGAGGAAUACCGAAGGCGAAGGCAGCCCCUUGGGAAUGUACUGACGCUCAUGUGCGAAAGCGUGGGGAGCAAACAGGAUUAGAUACCCUGGUAGUCCACGCUGUAAACGCUGUCGAUUUGGGGGUUGGGGUUUAACUCUGGCGCCCGUAGCUAACGUGAUAAAUCGACCGCCUGGGGAGUACGGCCGCAAGGUUA